RNAcentral lists this ribosomal RNA (250 nucleotides) under uncultured bacterium. RNAcentral's name for it is "partial 16S ribosomal RNA". It matches the Rfam family "Bacterial small subunit ribosomal RNA", at positions 524 to 773 of the family's 1533-position model. The record is from RNAcentral. RNAcentral also lists the same sequence under 1 other name.
UACGGAGGAUGCAAGCGUUAUCCGGAUUUACUGGGUUUAAAGGGUGCGCAGGCGGAACGAUCAGUCAGUGGUGAAAUCUCCCGGCUUAACCGGAAAACUGCCAUUGAUACUAUCGUUCUUGAGUCCAGUUGAAGUAGGCGGAAUGUAGCAUGUAGCGGUGAAAUGCUUAGAUAUGCUACAGAACACCGAUAGCGAAGGCAGCUUACUAAACUGAAACUGACGCUCAGGCACGAAAGCGUGGGUAGCAAAC